GACGAACGCUGGCGGCGUGCUUAACACAUGCAAGUCGAACGGAAAGGCCCUGCUUUUGUGGGGUGCUCGAGUGGCGAACGGGUGAGUAACACGUGAGUAACCUGCCCUUGACUUUGGGAUAACUUCAGGAAACUGGGGCUAAUACCGGAUAGGAGCUCCUGCUGCAUGGUGGGGGUUGGAAAGUUUCGGCGGUUGGGGAUGGACUCGCGGCUUAUCAGCUUGUUGGUGGGGUAGUGGCUUACCAAGGCUUUGACGGGUAGCCGGCCUGAGAGGGUGACCGGCCACAUUGGGACUGAAAUACGGCCCAGACUCCUACGGGAGGCAGCAGUGGGGAAUAUUGCACAAUGGGCGGAAGCCUGAUGCAGCAACGCCGCGUGCGGGAUGACGGCCUUCGGGUUGUAAACCGCUUCCGCCUGUGACGAAGCGUGAGUGACGGUAAUGGGUAAAGAAGCACCGGCUAACUACGUG
This 468-nucleotide ribosomal RNA is filed under the name uncultured bacterium. Its description in RNAcentral is "partial 16S ribosomal RNA". It matches the Rfam family "Bacterial small subunit ribosomal RNA", at positions 28 to 507 of the family's 1533-position model. The record is from RNAcentral.